CCUACGGGUGGCAGCAGUGAGGAAUAUUGGUCAAUGGCCGAGAGGCUGAACCAGCCAAGUCGCGUGAGGGAAGACGGCCCUACGGGUUGUAAACCUCUUUUGUCGGGGAGCAAAGCGAGUCACGUGUGACUCAUUGAGAGUAUCCGAAGAAAAAGCAUCGACUAACUCCGUGCCAGCAGCCGCGGUAAUACGGAGGAUGCGAGCGUUAUCCGGAUUUAUUGGGUUUAAAGGGUGCGCAGGCGGAGGUGCAAGUCAGCGGUAAAAUUGCGGGGCUCAACCCCGUACUGCCGUUGAAACUGCAUCCCUUGAGUGCGCGAGAAGUAUGCGGAAUGCGUGGUGUAGCGGUGAAAUGCAUAGAUAUCGCGCAGAACUCCGAUUGCGAAGGCAGCAUACCGGCGCGCAACUGACGCUCAGGCACGAAAGCGUGGGGAUCGAACAGGAUUAGAUACCCGAGUAGUC
Molecule: ribosomal RNA, 459 nt
Filed under: uncultured bacterium
Lineage: Bacteria
Description: partial 16S ribosomal RNA
Rfam family: Bacterial small subunit ribosomal RNA
Source: RNAcentral